AGUAACGGCGAGUGAACAGGGAAAAGCCCAAAUUUGUAAUCUGGCACUUUUUACAAGUGUCCGAGUUGUAAUUUGUAGAGCUGUUAUCCGUACUGGACCAUGUACAAGUCUGUUGAAAAGCAGCAUCAUUGAAGGUGAAAAUCCUGUAGAUGAUAUGGACUACCAGUAUAUUUGUGAUACGGUUUCUAAGAGUCGAGUUGUUUGGGAAUGCAGCUCAAAGUGGGUGGUAAAUUCCAUCUAAGGCUAAAUAUAAGUGAGAGACCGAUAGCAAACAAGUACCGUGAGGGAAAGAUGAAAAGAACUUUGAAAAUAGAGUUAACAGUACGUGAAAUUGCUGAAAGGGAAACGUUUGAAGUUAGUUUUGUAUUCGUUGGAUCAGCUUCGCAAGGAGUGUAUUCUGAUGAUAAGCAAGUCAACAUCAGUCUAUGAGUGUUGGAUAAGGGUUUUGAGAAUGUAGCAAUUUAAUUGUGUUAUAGCUUGAGACUUGGAUACGAUGCUUUGGAUUGAGGAACGCGUAGUAAGCUUUGAGCGGAUUCGAAAGGAUCUCCUUACUAUGGAUGUUGGUGAAAUAACU
This 574-nucleotide ribosomal RNA is filed under the name Melampsora salicis-sinicae. Its description in RNAcentral is "partial large subunit ribosomal RNA". It matches the Rfam family "Eukaryotic large subunit ribosomal RNA", at positions 82 to 639 of the family's 3401-position model. Lineage: Eukaryota; Fungi; Basidiomycota; Pucciniomycetes; Pucciniales; Melampsoraceae. The record is from RNAcentral.